AUUGAACGCUGGCGGCAGGCCUAACACAUGCAAGUCGAACGGUAACAGGAAGCAGCUUGCUGCUUUGCUGACGAGUGGCGGACGGGUGAGUAAUGUCUGGGAAACUGCCCGAUGGAGGGGGAUAACUACUGGAAACGGUAGCUAAUACCGCAUAACGUCGCAAGACCAAAGAGGGGGACCUUAAGGCCUCUUGCCAUCGGAUGUGCCCAGAUGGGAUUAGCUAGUAGGUGGGGUAACGGCUCACCUAGGCGACGAUCCCUAGCUGGUCUGAGAGGAUGACCAGCCACACUGGAACUGAGACACGGUCCAGACUCCUACGGGAGGCAGCAGUGGGGAAUAUUGCACAAUGGGCGCAAGCCUGAUGCAGCCAUGCCGCGUGUAUGAAGAAGGCCUUCGGGUUGUAAAGUACUUUCAGCGGGGAGGAAGGGAGUAAAGUUAAUACCUUUGCUCAUUGACGUUACCCGCAGAAGAAGCACCGGCUAACUCCGUG
This 490-nucleotide ribosomal RNA is filed under the name uncultured bacterium. RNAcentral's name for it is "partial 16S ribosomal RNA". It matches the Rfam family "Bacterial small subunit ribosomal RNA", at positions 30 to 507 of the family's 1533-position model. The record is from RNAcentral.